GUGCAUGUCUGUACUCACGCUUUCCUGGCCGCACAUAACGUGCUGUUACUUGUUUGCGAGUUCUAAUCGUGCCACCAUACAGUACGGACGUGUUCACAUUCGCCUCUUGUUAUUGUAUUGUUCGUAUGUUACAUUUACAUUCUUAAUUCAGUUCGACGGCGUACGAAAACCUCAGCGUAGCAUUGCGUUAGUACGUUAAUGUUUAAUGUGUACGUUAAACAAGACGACAACGCGGGAACCCGCAACAUCGUCUUGCCCGCUUCGAAGGAAUCGGCUGUUUCAUGGGCCUGGGAGAAGGGACUUCUUCGUACUACAAAGAAUUGUAGUACCCAUCGACGGCCCAUGAAGCUCUACGCAGGCGGGGAACACGGUCUUGGCCGUUUCCGAUGCCCUGCUGGCCGCGGUAACUGCAAGCAGUACGCGGCCACAGUCGAUUCCUUCUUUCAGGAUGUCCGUCUGCCGUUGCAUAAGGCAAUAAAGCUUAUGUAUUGCUUCACUUCCGACUUCUCCUACGAGGUUACCGCAACGGAGGUAUUCGACGUAGGAGAAGAUCAGGAAGUAUUAUCAACGGACACGAUUGCAGCGUGAUUCCGCUAUUGUCGGGAGAUGAUAGUGGACCACGUUUGCAAAAUGCAAGCGGGCAAGCCGAAAUUAGGCGGGAUCGAUGAAGGAGGUUCUGCAAUCGUUGUACAGAUCGAUGAGGCCAAAUUCGACAAGUGCAAGUAUAACCGUGGCCGUAUCAUCGACGGCCACUGGGUACUUGGCAUGGUCGACACAUCGACCAACGAUUGUAGAAUGGUUGUCGUUCAUGACCGGAAAGAGGCAACCUUCACCCCCUAAUCAAGGAAAACGUUGCUGCAGGCAAUGAGAUCCAUACGGACUCAUUUAGGAGUUACAUGGGUCUCGCUGCUGAAGGAUUCACCCAUAAGAUGGUGAAUCAUAGCGUCGAAUUUGUUGCGCCUGAUGGAACUCAUACGCAACAAAUCGAAGCUAACUGGCGACCGGCAAAGGAUUGGAUGCGCGGAAGAGGCCGCUUCCACGACGAAGACUUUGCCGAUCGCCUGUGUGAGUAUUUGUAGUGAAAAUUCUGUAAAUCUCACACAAUUCAUCUUAUGGAUUUCUUGAUCGCAGCAAUCAAGGAGCAGUACGUUUUCGAAUAAGGUAACUUGAACUUAGUCACUUAAACGAACCAAUCAGAUGAUGGGUAGAAACAAUAUGGCGUCAUUCUAACCUCUCAAAUGUCACUAAGUCAGAAACUACAAAAAAAAAGGACCCCUUAAUUUGUGGUCCCCCAAAACGAAGUUUUACCUGUAUAUAUAUAAAACUUAAAUAUUAAAAAAAAUAUAAAUAAAGGAAGCAGUUCAACUCCGUUUUUUAAUUACUU
Molecule: long non-coding RNA, 1384 nt
Organism: Osmia bicornis bicornis
Lineage: Eukaryota; Metazoa; Arthropoda; Insecta; Hymenoptera; Megachilidae
Exons: 6
Source: RefSeq, a predicted model, not a curated record